This 809-nucleotide long non-coding RNA is filed under the name Amborella trichopoda. RNAcentral's name for it is "long non-coding RNA (ATRI_LNC001928)". Lineage: Eukaryota; Viridiplantae; Streptophyta; Magnoliopsida; Amborellales; Amborellaceae. The record is from RNAcentral.
CACUACUUCAUCAACUUGAACAUCAAAAUCAGCCACAUCCUUAGCCUCAAUCACAGGGUACUCUUCAUAGCCUUCCCUUUCUUCAGCGUCAUAUAUAGGUUCUACCAAAUUGGCAUGGCGUUGGGUGGCAUUCAAUGGGCACUCUGCAGCUCGGUGCCCAACAUCAUUGCAUCUAAAGCACCUCAGACCAGCAACCUCUUGGGCUCGGGUUCGUGCCCGGGUACCCCCAGCAGGGCCAUCUUUUGCUACUGGAACUCCCCAGGUUGGAGACGCCAACCUCCCAGUCUGUGACAAUCCUGCUUCGGGUGUGGGUGGACGUAUGGCUGCCCCUUUUCUUUGUCAUUUCUCCACCUUUAAAGCAGCUUGAUAUGUCACCUCUAACCGAGGCAUAUGAUGCAAUGAGAGCUCAUCUUGGAUCAAACUCCGCACCCUCGAAACAUAAUGCGUCACCUUUUGAUCCUUGGUCUCCGCUAACCUAUUACGCAAGGAUAAGCAAUAAUACUCCUAUGUAUACUCCUGGAGAGAUUUUGUACCUUGAUGCAACCUAUAGGACUAUUGAUACAAUGUUUGUGAGUAGCUCGGCGGGAGAAAUUGCUCACGCAUCUUUGCUUUCAUCUUCGUCUAUGAACUAAUCUUUUCUAUGCCUUUUUGAACCAGUGCUUCUUGAACUUGAUCCCACCAUAAUGAUGCAAGUCCCUUAAGUUUAAGAGCCACAAGUUUGACCUUCUUUGAAUUGGUUAAUUUUUUCCAAUCAAAGAAGCAGUCAACCGUGCUCAACCAAUCAAAGAAGCAGACAACGGUGCUCAACC